AAAGAGUGCGUAAUAGCUCACUGGUCGAGUGGUUCUGCGCCGAAAAUUUAACGGGGCUAAACGAUACACCGAAGCUUGGGAUGCAGCAUUGGCUGCAUGGUAGGAGAGCGUUCUGUACGGGGUGAAGUCAUAGCGGAAGCGGUGGUGGACUGUACAGAAGAGAGAAUGCCGGAAUGAGUAGCGAGAUUUAUGUGAGAAUCAUAAAGGCCGAAAGACUAAGGAUUUAGAAGGAAGGUUCGUCCGCUUCUAGUUAGCCGGGAGCUAAGGCGAGGCCGAAAGGCGUAGUCGAUGCACAUACGGUGGAGAUUCCGUAGCCGCCUCUUAAUUUAAGCAAAGGGACACUUUCAAAGGGAAUGACCCGGGCGUUGGUAGCCCCGGGCGAAAGGGACCGAAAUUAGAGUAGGGAAGCAUUUCUGGAGGAAGGCGAGAAAAGCUUUGCGGAUAGAGAGAGGCGCCCGUACCGCAAACCGACACAGGUAGAUCAGGAGAGGAUUCUAAGGCCAACGGGAGAAGGGUAGUUAAGGAACUCGGCAAAUUGACCCCGUAACUUCGGAAUAAGGGGUGCUCGAAAAGGAGCCGCAGUGAAUAGGCCCAGGCGACUGUUUAUCAAAAACACAGCUCUCUGCUAAAUCGAAAGAUGAAGUAUAGGGGGUGACACCUGCCCGGUGCUGGAAGGUUAAGAGGAAGGGUGCAAGCUCUGAAUUGAAGCCCCAGUAAACGGCGGCCGUAACUAUAACGGUCCUAAGGUAGCGAAAUUCCUUGUCGGGUAAGUUCCGACCCGCACGAAUGGUGUAACGAUCUGGGCACUGUCUCAACUACCCACCCGGCGAAAUUGUAGUACCGGUGAAGAUGCCGGUUACCCGCGGCAAGACGGAAAGACCCCAUGGAGCUUUACUGUAGCCUGAUAUUGGGUUUCGGUAUUCUAUGUACAGGAUAGGCGGGAGACUGGGAACCGAUGGCGUCAGCUGUCGGGGAGUCACCCUUGGGAUACCGCUCUUAGAGUACUGGAAUUCUAACCUGCGGCCGUGAAUCCGGCCGGGGGACAUUGUCAGGUGGGCAGUUUGACUGGGGCGGUCGCCUCCAAAAAGGUAACGGAGGCGCUCAAAGGUUCGCUCAGCACGGACGGAAACCGUGCCUCUGAGUGCAAACGCAAAAGCGAGCCUAACUGCGAGGCUGACGGGCCGAGCAGUAACGAAAGUUGGAGUUAGUGAUCCGG
RNAcentral lists this ribosomal RNA (1216 nucleotides) under human gut metagenome. Its description in RNAcentral is "bacterial LSU rRNA". It matches the Rfam family "Bacterial large subunit ribosomal RNA", at positions 1125 to 2423 of the family's 2925-position model. The record is from RNAcentral.